RNAcentral lists this long non-coding RNA (1095 nucleotides) under Canis lupus familiaris (dog). RNAcentral describes it as "lncRNA (ENSCAFG00030015163.1)". The record is from RNAcentral. Lineage: Eukaryota; Metazoa; Chordata; Mammalia; Carnivora; Canidae.
AUGAGGCAGCCAAGCCCCGGGCCUGUUUGCAGGAGCAGCGCAGGGGCCUGGGCCCUGGGCACCAGCCCGGCUGGACCCCAGGGACAGAUGCUGGGCCUGGGAGCUUGGAAAUCAGGGCCUUGGGCCCCGCAGGUCCAGGCCAGCAGGAAAGCCUCGCCUCGCCCCGGGGACGGGCUCACGGGGACAGCAGAGGCCCCCACGGGGGCUGGCCAGAGUGGCUGGGCCCCGGGGGCGUGGGGCUCACAGUGCCUGGGCAGAGUGGGACAGAGGUGUGGGCAGUGGGGCACAGGAAGCGGGCUGGGCCUUGGAAUUUCCUCGUGUGAAGUGAUUCCCAGAGACCCGCUGGCCUGCAGGGAAGGGCCCAGCUGGCGCUGCUGGAGCCGGAGCCAGGACGUGGGUCUGGGACAGGUGUGGCCUGGGGAGGCCCCUCCGUCCUGGGCCACGUCCCAGUUUCCAGGGCUCCAGGCCAGCCGAAGUGAGGAGCCACCCCUUCCCCCAGCCUGUACACAUGUGGGGCCGGUGCCAGCUCACGCCACCAGCGGCAGCGUUGCCCGGGCACCCAGCCUGGUACACUGCGCCAGUCACCAUGGCAGCAUGCCGUGCGCUGGCAGGAGCCCAGGCUGGGCUGCAGAGGCCAAGGCCAGUGGUCUGGAUAUGUGGGACCAGGAGUCCGGUCCCUGUGGCCACCCCCACCAGGGGCCUGACGGGAGGGGGGAGCCCCGUGGGUGGCCAGGCCUGCCCAUUCCCCCCAUCCCAGGGAGGGGGCAGUUUCCCGAGAGCUCCAGAGUGGGUGCCAGGGGGCUGGGGGCUUCCUGGCGGCAGCUGACCUCACGCGGAGGCCCUGGAGGCCGCGCGUCUGCCCCACCUUGUCUGCUGGAGCUGUGGGGAGCUGAAGCCACCCCCACCUUAGAGGCCCAGCUCCUGCUGACAUCUGCAGCCGGCCGCUCCCUGACCUGGGGAUCCGGGGGUGCCACUCGCACGAUGACAUCACAGUGCCCAAGAGGGAAAGGCAUCUCUCCUCAUGUCACACAUUUAAGUUGGCGCAUCAGGCAGCCCGACACCCGUGCUCAGGCCUUGUCCCGUGGUGGCAGAUGA